Molecule: ribosomal RNA, 317 nt
Filed under: Lactiplantibacillus plantarum
Lineage: Bacteria; Bacillati; Bacillota; Bacilli; Lactobacillales; Lactobacillaceae
Description: bacterial SSU rRNA
Rfam family: Bacterial small subunit ribosomal RNA
Source: RNAcentral
GAGUUUGAAUCUGGCUCAGGACGAACGCUGGCGGCGUGCCUAAUACAUGCAAGUCGAACGAACUCUGGUAUUGAUUGGUGCUUGCAUCAUGAUUUACAUUUGAGUGAGUGGCGAACUGGUGAGUAACACGUGGGAAACCUGCCCAGAAGCGGGGGAUAACACCUGGAAACAGAUGCUAAUACCGCAUAACAACUUGGACCGCAUGGUCCGAGCUUGAAAGAUGGCUUCGGCUAUCACUUUUGGAUGGUCCCGCGGCGUAUUAGCUAGAUGGUGGGGUAACGGCUCACCAUGGCAAUGAUACGUAGCCGACCUGAGAG